Eriocheir sinensis (Chinese mitten crab) is the source of this 693-nucleotide long non-coding RNA. RefSeq lists it as uncharacterized. The record is from RefSeq and is a predicted model, not a curated record. NCBI's taxonomy places the organism in Eukaryota, Metazoa, Arthropoda, Malacostraca, Decapoda, Varunidae. The transcript has 4 exons.
GGUCACCUGUACAGCAAGAGCAAGAGCACCCCUGUCAUGGCGUCGCGGUGAUGAUGCUCGCCCGGCAGUCCUUCCACAUUUUCCGCCAUUUCCCGAUUUCGGGCGCCCAGCCGUACACGUGAACUAACAGUCUUGGCUUCAGGGCAGGUCGCUGAAAUGGUCCGCGAGACAGUGGCUGGCGAGGGAGAAGGAGGAAGAGGAGGAGGAGGAGGAAUGACCAAGAGGAGGGAAGAGACAAGAGGCCAAGCAGUGCAGAGAAGGAGCAGGAGAAGAAGGAGGAAGAAGAGGAGGAGGAUGUGACCUCUAUACAUAAAGGCAGAACUAUAUAUAGAAGCUUAUGGAGUAGAGGAAAUAUGUCAAUCUAUGGAGAAGGAGGAGGAGGAGGAGGAGGAGGAGAAGGUUAACUUGUAAAUAUAGGCAGUUUAUAUACCAAGGAAAAUAUUUAAAUGAUUUGUAUUAUGCAUCUAUUUAAAUGUACGUUAUGCACUUAAAUGUAUGUCUGUAUAAGGUUGUGGGAUUUACUUAUAUUGUCUGUGGUAUUUUUUUUACUUAUAAGGUUGUACUGAGGAUUUUACUUAUAAGAUCUAUGGCUGUAUGGAACUCCUAAAACCCUUUCUACUAUGGCUAUUAAUUAACAAAAACCUCUUAGUUUCAGCUUGUGUACAGGGUUAAAAUAUAGUUAAUGUUAGAGUU